RNAcentral lists this small nuclear RNA (106 nucleotides) under Octodon degus (degu). Lineage: Eukaryota; Metazoa; Chordata; Mammalia; Rodentia; Octodontidae. The record is from RNAcentral.
UCGCUUUGGCGGCAGCGUGUGUACUCAAAUUGGAGCAAGACAGCGAAGGCUAUCGUGGCCCCUGUACGAGGGUGGCACACAGAUUCACGAAUUGACCCAUGUCUUU